RNAcentral lists this ribosomal RNA (452 nucleotides) under Neisseria bacilliformis. RNAcentral describes it as "bacterial SSU rRNA". It matches the Rfam family "Bacterial small subunit ribosomal RNA", at positions 30 to 476 of the family's 1533-position model. Lineage: Bacteria; Pseudomonadati; Pseudomonadota; Betaproteobacteria; Neisseriales; Neisseriaceae. The record is from RNAcentral.
AUUGAACGCUGGCGGCAUGCUUUACACAUGCAAGUCGGACGGCAGCACAGAGAAGCUUGCUUCUUGGGUGGCGAGUGGCGAACGGGUGAGUAACGCAUCGGAACGUACCGAGUAAUGGGGGAUAACUGUCCGAAAGGACAGCUAAUACCGCAUACGCCCUGAGGGGGAAAGCGGGGGAUCUUAGGACCUCGCGUUAUUCGAGCGGCCGAUGUCUGAUUAGCUGGUUGGCGGGGUAAAGGCCCACCAAGGCGACGAUCAGUAGCGGGUCUGAGAGGAUGAUCCGCCACACUGGGACUGAGACACGGCCCAGACUCCUACGGGAGGCAGCAGUGGGGAAUUUUGGACAAUGGGCGCAAGCCUGAUCCAGCCAUGCCGCGUGUCUGAAGAAGGCCUUCGGGUUGUAAAGGACUUUUGUCAGGGAAGAAAAGGGGCAUGUUAAUACCGUGCUCUGA